RNAcentral lists this ribosomal RNA (250 nucleotides) under uncultured bacterium. Its description in RNAcentral is "partial 16S ribosomal RNA". It matches the Rfam family "Bacterial small subunit ribosomal RNA", at positions 28 to 271 of the family's 1533-position model. The record is from RNAcentral.
GACGAACGCUGGCGGCGCGCCUAACACAUGCAAGUCGAACGGAAUCAAGAGGAGCUUGCUUUUCUUGAUUUAGUGGCGAACGGGUGAGUAACGCGUGAGUAACCUGCCCUGGAGUGGGGGACAACAGUUGGAAACGACUGCUAAUACCGCAUAAGCCCACGGUGCUGCAUGGCACUGCGGGAAAAGGAUUUAUUCGCUCUAGGAUGGACUCGCGUCCAAUUAGCUAGUUGGUGAGGUAACGGCCCACCAA